AGGGUGUAAACGCUGCAGACUUGGUGUUGGGAACCCUUCGGGGGUGCUCAGUGCCGGAGAGAAGUUGUUAAGUCUGCUACUUGGGGAGUACGUCCGCAAGGAUGAAACUUAAAGGAAUUGGCGGGGGAGCACCGCAACGGGAGGAGCGUGCGGUUUAAUUGGAUUUCAACACCGGAAAAACUCACCAGGGGAGACUGUUACAUGAAACCCAGACUAAUGAUCUUGGUUGAUUUUUCAGAGAGGUGUGCAUGGCGUCAGUGACU
This 263-nucleotide ribosomal RNA is filed under the name uncultured archaeon. RNAcentral's name for it is "partial 16S ribosomal RNA". It matches the Rfam family "Archaeal small subunit ribosomal RNA", at positions 748 to 1008 of the family's 1478-position model. The record is from RNAcentral.